UGGGGGAUAUUGCACAAUGGGCGCAAGCCUGAUGCAGCGACGCCGCGUGAGUGAAGAAGUAUUUCGGUAUGUAAAGCUCUAUCGGCAGGGAAGAAAGGCCCGAAAGGGAGAUGACGGUACCUGACUAAGAAGCCCCGGCUAACUACGUGCCAGCAGCCGCGGUAAUACGUAGGGGGCAAGCGUUAUCCGGAUUUACUGGGUGUAAAGGGAGCGUAGACGGCGAGACAAGUCUGAUGUGAAAGCCCGCGGCUCAACUGCGGGACUGCAUUGGAAACUGUUUUGCUGGAGUAUCGGAGAGGUAAGCGGAAUUCCUGGUGUAGCGGUGAAAUGCGUAGAUAUCAGGAGGAACACCGGUGGCGAAGGCGGCUUACUGGACGACAACUGACGUUGAGGCUCGAAAGCGUGGGGAGCAAACAGG
This 418-nucleotide ribosomal RNA is filed under the name uncultured prokaryote. RNAcentral's name for it is "bacterial SSU rRNA". It matches the Rfam family "Bacterial small subunit ribosomal RNA", at positions 355 to 776 of the family's 1533-position model. RNAcentral also lists the same sequence under 1 other name. The record is from RNAcentral.